This 2538-nucleotide long non-coding RNA is filed under the name Gadus morhua (Atlantic cod). Its description in RNAcentral is "lncRNA (ENSGMOG00000031446.1)". The stretch from base 1545 to 1631 matches the Rfam family "mir-181 microRNA precursor family". Lineage: Eukaryota; Metazoa; Chordata; Actinopteri; Gadiformes; Gadidae. The record is from RNAcentral.
GGCAACCGAGGGGCGUGAUGAAGUGUUUCACCGUGCGAGCCAACGCCAGCGGUUUAUCGCUCAGAAUGGAGAUUAAAAAUUAGGGUAGGUGGGUGUGUGUGUGUGUGUGUGUGUGUCGGGGUGUGUGUGUGUGUGUUGGGCGAGGGGCGAGGGGUGGGGGUACGGGGCGAGAAUAGCGCGCGCGUCAAGCUGUGCCGGUCAGUGUCUUACACACACAUUUCUAUAGCGUCUUUCACGCGCGCGCGCACGUGCACGCACACACAAGGGUCCACAGUGCCACGGGAGCCCACUCUACAGUGAGAGGGCUGAGUGUGUGUGUGUGUGUGUGUCUGUAAGUUAGUUUGGACCGGUUGGGGUUGGGGUGGGGGUCUUUGUUGGUGACCAUCUAUUGUGUCAUAUUUUCUAACCCUUGUCGGAGCCUUUGUCCGUGCAGCUGUGGGUUCCGACGAGAGACUACAAGUUUGUGUGUUCCUCUUGUUAUUUUCCUUGCAGCUCAGAGCAAUGACUUAAAUGCACUUUGCCAAACGUUCUACCAAGCAUCCCCUCACACCGGGCGAUAAAAAAACUUUAUUGGCAAGAUAGUUUUCACAACAGUAUACUAGUCUAAAAGUAAAGACACAAAUGUGUGUGCGCCACAUGCAGUGUGCCAAAUUGAACACGAGUGCACAGUUCACAGAGUGGUGCGAUAACUGAGAACGUGAAUACUGGUGCAAGGCAAUAUGUUCCUUUGUCUAUAUUGGUUUCGUUUCUUUAUCACUGCGGUUUUUGGAUGUCUAAAAUCUUCUUAUUUUAUUAUUGUAUCGUCAUGUGUAAUCCAUGUCUGGUUUAGUAUUGAGACCACUUUAUUCUGUUGACACUGUUGACAGUCGCUCAUCAUUCUUACCUCUGUGUCUCCGUUUUUGUAUUUCAGAUUUUGCAAACCCUGGUUUGAGGCUGACUACAAACACGACAUCACCUCCCGCCGUCAUCCACCAACGCCACCCCCUCCACCGCCACCCAACAAUCGCACCCAUUCCCUGGAGAGGAACCCCAUGCAGAAUGCACGCACAAGAAAUGAAUCGAAGGUCCAGACAUGAAAGAGUCGAGAGACACAGGCACACACACACGCAAACACGGGGUGCUGCGUCUGUCUGCGGUCUUCAACCAGCCUGCCAAAAGAUACACACACACACGCACACACAUUAAGGUGCAGCGUGGUGAACACCAGGUGCAAGAGGAAGGGACAUUCUUCUGCUUGCUCCAACACAUCUGAUGCUACCUGAUGUUUUAUGGUAUAGGUGGUAACCUGUUCUGUAUAUGUUUGAAUAAUGCUGUAGAAAUACAGGAAUAAAAAAAGAUAGUGCUGUAUCAGGGAGAGAGAGAGAGAGAGGGAGGGAGAGGGGGGGGAAAGAUAAAGCGAGGGAGAGAGAGAGAGAUAAAGCGAGGGAGAGAGAGAGAGAGAGAGCGAGAGACCCCUCAAACGGUGCGUGAGACCGGAGUGAGUCGCCUUGCCGAUGCGUCUCCGAGCAGACAUCUGUCAGAGCGGCUCGCCGUCAAGUCUGUGCUCGCCCCAGUAAACAUUCAACGCUGUCGGUGAGUUUGGGAUUAAAUUGGCACAAAACCAUCGACCGUUGAUUGUACCCUGUGGCCAGCCCUUGUCCCUCCAUGCUGUAAAAGGAGAAUGUGUGCUAGAAAUGCCUAUUCACUGGCCGCCCCCCCCUACUCCUGCACAACCAGCCUCGUGGAGCAGGAAAACCAACAUGGCUGCUGACCGGCUUUGCACAGUCGGAAACACACACCGCAUCCUCACUUUCGACCCGUGCUCCGCUAAGAUGUUAACGAACUAUAUAAAGAAAGGCUAGGUCCAGCCCCCAAACCACAACAAAGGUCACAAUCAACAUUCAUUGCUGUCGGUGGGUUUGGCUAUGAAGAAAAGCUCACUGAACGAUGAAUGCAACUGUGUCCUCGACCUCCUCGGACCGCCCGUCACUGUGAAUAGUGUCACCGUAUGCUGAUGAUGGUAUUUAUUUGCAUAUUAAAAAAAAGGAACGCAUCUUGAUCCUACUAGCUGGGAUAUUGGCAGGGGUAUAUAUUUUUAUUUUUUUUGCGUGUGUUUUAUGAUAGUGCAGACUUUUUUAUUCUGUUAUAUAUGUAGGUAUAAUAAAGUGUGUAAAGAAAUACUUUUUCUAUGACAAUCAGAAUACUAUAUUAAAUUAGUGAUCAUUGAAAAAGCUAAACAUAGCUUUUUCAAAAAGAUAUGAUUUGAAAUGGACCAUCAAGCUGGUAAGUAUAUUGGUUCAAUCAUUCUUUGAUUACUUCCAAUUCUUAGCAAUGUUUCUUUUCACUCAUCACACUAUCACCCCUGCAUUUCAACCCAUUCUGCAAUUUCAAAAAUAAAAAUAAUCUGACAAUUGAUGAUUAUGUGUGUUCUUAUUGUCGCUGGUUCACUUAUUCGGUGCACAUUCAGAAGCCAAACCAUCGAUUAAAAUCGUGAGGGGAUGAAUAAUGGGACUGAAUGUCUCUUUUCAGGAUGCCUGUGAGCUAUUCAAUUGGUAUCAC